GAGGGUGUAGCUCAGUGGUAGAGCGCAUGCUUAGCAUGUAUGAGGUUCUGCUGUCAAUCCCCAGUACCUCCG
This 72-nucleotide transfer RNA is filed under the name Camelus bactrianus (Bactrian camel). It matches the Rfam family "tRNA". From Rfam's summary of the family: Transfer RNA (tRNA) molecules are approximately 80 nucleotides in length. The record is from Rfam by way of RNAcentral. RNAcentral also lists the same sequence under 2 other names. Lineage: Eukaryota; Metazoa; Chordata; Mammalia; Artiodactyla; Camelidae.